RNAcentral lists this long non-coding RNA (865 nucleotides) under Phasianus colchicus (ring-necked pheasant). Its description in RNAcentral is "lncRNA (ENSPCLG00000010921.1)". The record is from RNAcentral. Lineage: Eukaryota; Metazoa; Chordata; Aves; Galliformes; Phasianidae.
AUGCCGUUCACCUGCUUUUCCUAACUAUGAUCUCAAAUUACUGAUUUUUCUUUCUUUGCCUACAUGCUGCUAUUUCGAGAUGCAAUAUUUGGUCGCUUGCUGAUUUUAAAUCCAAAUCCUGACUGAAAAUGAUUUUAUUUGUAAGGCAGCAGCGGGAACACCUGCUCUUGACAUGUGAGAAUGUUCUGAUGACAUAACCAGCUACCAGUAAUAGAAACUGUCUUUGGGCCCUCAUUGUGAGCCAUGUGAUGCUUCCACCACGUUGCCAAGUCAAACACUGUAAUUCCCCUCACUGAUUACUACUGCCCAGAGAGAGAGCAAGUGAGCAAAACUGUUUUUGAGUACUGAGUGACUUCUGAAUAUCCUACUGUAAUAUGGCUGACUUUAGUGGUCCUGAUACAAUGUCAGCUAAGGCCAAUGUAAGAGCAACAUGAUGGAAAGCACGGAGCAAAUACCUCCUGUUGUGAAGGUAUAGCAUGCUGGAGCCUCACAUCUGGCUUGGGUGCUUUGGUACCUGGUAAACUAACACGAAGCUAUCCCUGACACUGAACAUAAAUGGAAUUCAAUCAGGUUCCAACUUUGAACAGGAGGACUGAGAGGACUUCUUAAAUGAGUGAGAGUUUACCUGAAAUAAUAAGAAAACCAGUGUUCAUGCAAAUAUCUACAUGCAGAUGCUGGAUUGGAAUCCGUGAUAGUCCUCAUCCUCAACUCUGAAGUUACCAGGCUGAGCAGCUCCCAACUUUUUGCUUGAAAACUCUUCUGCUGCGUUUCUCCAUGACUGCCACUUCAGUGACUUUCAAACCUUUCCUUGAAAUAGGUUGUCAUUGUCAUUAUCUACAUGGUAGAAUGCCAUUCCCUGCCCCAU